RNAcentral lists this ribosomal RNA (370 nucleotides) under uncultured Bacillus sp. RNAcentral describes it as "bacterial SSU rRNA". It matches the Rfam family "Bacterial small subunit ribosomal RNA", at positions 235 to 596 of the family's 1533-position model. The record is from RNAcentral. Lineage: Bacteria; Bacillati; Bacillota; Bacilli; Caryophanales; Bacillaceae.
GGUGCAUUAGCUAGAUUGGUGAGGUAACGGCUCACCAAGGCCACGAUGCAUAGCCGACCUGAGAGGGUGAUCGGCCACACUGGGACUGAGACACGGCCCAGACUCCUACGGGAGGCAGCAGUAGGGAAUCUUCCGCAAUGGACGAAAGUCUGACGGAGCAACGCCGCGUGAGUGAUGAAGGCUUUCGGGUCGUAAAACUCUGUUGUUAGGGAAGAACAAGUAUGAGAGUAACUGCUCGUACCUUGACGGUACCUAACCAGAAAGCCACGGCUAACUACGUGCCAGCAGCCGCGGUAAUACGUAGGUGGCAAGCGUUAUCCGGAAUUAUUGGGCGUAAAGCGCGCGCAGGCGGUUUCUUAAGUCUGAUGUG